CAAGACGACGACGGGUAGCCGGCCUGAGAGGGCGACCGGCCACACUGGGACUGAGACACGGCCCAGACUCCUACGGGAGGCAGCAGUGGGGAAUAUUGCACAAUGGGGGAAACCCUGAUGCAGCGACGCAGCGUGCGGGAUGACGGCCUUCGGGUUGUAAACCGCUUUCAGCAGGGAAGAAGCGCAAGUGACGGUACCUGCAGAAGAAGUACCGGCUAACUACGUGCCAGCAGCCGCGGUAAUACGUAGGGUACGAGCGUUGUCCGGAAUUAUUGGGCGUAAAGAGCUCGUAGGUGGUUGGUCACGUCUGCUGUGGAAACGCAACGCUUAACGUUGCGCGUGCAGUGGGUACGGGCUGCUAGAGUGCAGUAGGGGAGUCUGGAAUUCCUGGUGUAGCGGUGAAAUGCGCAGAUAUCAGGAGGAACACCGGUGGCGAAGGCGGGACUCUGGGCUGUAACUGACACUGAGGAGCGAAAGCAUGGGGAGCGAACAGGAUUAGAUACCCUGGUAGUCCAUGCCGUAAACGUUGGGCACUAGGUGUGGGGGGCAUUCCACGUUCUCCGCGCCGUAGCUAACGCAUUAAGUGCCCCGCCUGGGGAGUACGG
RNAcentral lists this ribosomal RNA (605 nucleotides) under Brevibacterium sp. CMT161. RNAcentral describes it as "bacterial SSU rRNA". It matches the Rfam family "Bacterial small subunit ribosomal RNA", at positions 269 to 885 of the family's 1533-position model. The record is from RNAcentral. Lineage: Bacteria; Bacillati; Actinomycetota; Actinomycetes; Micrococcales; Brevibacteriaceae.